GGCUCCCCACCCUGGCGUCACAGUCCUGACGUCACCAGCGUGACGUCACCGGAUGGCGUCACGCACCGCCGCGCGUCGGCCCCAAGGGCACCUCCCCCGCACGGCGUUCUGCGCAGGCGCAGCUCUGGGGGGCGGGGCGGGGCGGUCUCAAUAAAGGAAAUUUUGUUUCGGGAAGUCCCGGCAUUUGUGGGGAGGGAUCCUGGUGCUUGUGUGUGCUGUAGAAGCGUCGGCACAGAGCACGUGGCACAGCCGUGUGUCUGUCGGUUCUUGAAUGUCUCCGGUACGGGAGACUCUACACCCUCUUGGGCCAAUUGUUCCAGUGGUCAGUCACAUGCGCGGUAAAAGUUCUUCCUCAUGUUCAGGUGGAGCUUCAUCAAUUUCUGCGUGUUGCCUCUUGUCCUCUUGCCUGGCACUACUGACAGGAGCCUGGCUCCAUCCUUUUGACACCCUCAUUCAGACACGGGUAAGCAGUGAUGAGAUCCACUCGAGGGGUCGUUUCUCCUUGAGUCUAAACAGGCCCAGCUCGCUCAGCCUUUCCUCCUAAGAGAAACACUCCUUUAAUCACCUCUCUUGCUCUCUGUUGGACCUGCUCCGGGAGCUCCAUGUGUCUGUCUCUUGUCCUGAGGAACCCAGAAGUGGACACAGCACUCCAGGUGUGCCUCAUCAGGGCUGAGUACAAGGGGAGGAUCUUCCUUCUGUGACCUGCUGGCAAUGCUCUUCCUAAUGUCCCCCAGGAUCCCACUGGCCUCCUUGGCCACCGGGACACACUGCUGGCUCAUGGGCAGCUUGUUGUCCACCAGGACCCCCAGGUCCUUCUCCAAGCUGCCCGCCCGCAGGUCAGCCCCAAACCUGGUUCAGACCCACAGGAUUACUGAAGGAGUCGCAGUGUGAAUAACAAGCACAGUGCAGGAAGGUGUAAAUGUAACAGCAUUGGGAAGGCACAGAGAAGAGAUUGGCCUGAUGCACGCUGAUACAUGCGCACCCAAAACCCAGUGCUUCUUUAAUCCCAGCCUGCAAACACCUUCAAAACAAUUUGCAGCAUAUCCAUGCUGCCCAGGCACCCAUACAGAACCUGUGCUGAUAUUGCCACCACUCAGCUGUUUGUUGUGGCUGGGUCUGCAUCUCCUCAGCCUGCCCAGGUACAGCAUCGAGCCAGCCGUGGACCAAACACCUCCCAGUCAGGUGCAGAAGGAAGACCAAGUAAUGGUUACUGGGAAUGGAGAGAUAAGCUAUGACUGCCUUUCAGUGUGUGAAUCCUAAUGUUGCCAUCAAAGCACAGAUUUAAUAAAAACAAGACAACCUAAAACUGAAUUGCCUCU
Molecule: long non-coding RNA, 1319 nt
Filed under: Cyanistes caeruleus (blue tit)
Lineage: Eukaryota; Metazoa; Chordata; Aves; Passeriformes; Paridae
Description: lncRNA (ENSCCEG00000016284.1)
Source: RNAcentral